CAUCUGUGAUGAUGCUAUCCCGAACCUGAAUUUAUUGUUGAAAAAACUCCAUACGGAUCUGGCUUCUGAGAU
This is a small nucleolar RNA of Crocodylus porosus (Australian saltwater crocodile), 72 nucleotides long. The record is from Ensembl. Lineage: Eukaryota; Metazoa; Chordata; Crocodylia; Crocodylidae.